RNAcentral lists this ribosomal RNA (486 nucleotides) under uncultured bacterium. RNAcentral describes it as "partial 16S ribosomal RNA". It matches the Rfam family "Bacterial small subunit ribosomal RNA", at positions 30 to 507 of the family's 1533-position model. The record is from RNAcentral.
AUUGAACGCUGGCGGCAUGCCUUACACAUGCAAGUCGAACGGCAGCACGGGUGCUUGCACCUGGUGGCGAGUGGCGAACGGGUGAGUAAUACAUCGGAACAUGUCCUGUAGUGGGGGAUAGCCCGGCGAAAGCCGGAUUAAUACCGCAUACGAUCUACGGAUGACAGCGGGGGACCUUCGGGCCUCGCGCUAUAGGGUUGGCCGAUGGCUGAUUAGCUAGUUGGUGGGGUAAAGGCCUACCAAGGCGACGAUCAGUAGCUGGUCUGAGAGGACGACCAGCCACACUGGGACUGAGACACGGCCCAGACUCCUACGGGAGGCAGCAGUGGGGAAUGUUGGACAAUGGGCGAAAGCCUGAUCCAGCAAUGCCGCGUGUGUGAAGAAGGCCUUCGGGUUGUAAAGCACUUUUGUCCGGAAAGAAAUCCUUGGCCCUAAUACGGUCGGGGGAUGACGGUACCGGAAGAAUAAGCACCGGCUAACUACGUG